Erinaceus europaeus (western European hedgehog) is the source of this 1079-nucleotide RNA transcript. It is a transcript of the gene named chromosome 11 C1orf52 homolog, with no coding region annotated. The record is from RefSeq and is a predicted model, not a curated record. Lineage: Eukaryota; Metazoa; Chordata; Mammalia; Eulipotyphla; Erinaceidae. The transcript has 4 exons.
GUAGCCGCGCGCCGCCGUCAUGGCAGCCGAGGAGAAAGACCCUCUGAGCUAUUUCGCGGCUUAUGGAAGCAGCAGCUCUGGCUCCUCGGACGAGGAGGAUAACAGCGAGCCGGAAGAGACGAGUCGCCGCGCUCCGGAUCAGGACAAGGCGGCGGGCAGCUGCGGGAACAGGGCGAAGAAACGGCUGCCGGGCCCCGACGAGCUGUUCCGCAGCGUGACUCGCCCGGCCUUUCUCUACAAUCCGCUCAACAAGCAGAUCGACUGGGAGAGGCACGUCGUCAAGGCUCCCGAGGAGCCUCCCAAAGAGUUCAGAGUCUGGAAGUCAAGCUACGCGCCGCCUCCGGAGACUUACACGGCCGAGAAGAAAGCGCCGCCGCCGCCAGAACUGGAUAUGGCGAUAAAAUGGUCUAACAUCUACGAGGACAAUGGCGAUGAUGCCCCGCAGAAUGCUAAGAAAGCGAGGCUUCCACCGGAAGGAGAGCAGACGGUGGAAUCUGGACAGAAAAACUGAGCAGGUGUAGAGAGGAAGCUCGACAGAGACACCUGUAGUGCUUGCUUCACUGCUUUUGAAGCUUCCUCCUUACAGAUGAUGAAAAAGAUGAGCAUACUUCUAAGAAGCGUAAAACAGAGCCAGGAGAACCAAUAAAGAAGAAAAAGUAGAAAACCUCAAGAACUUCUGGACUGCAAAUGGCUACUGGAGCCAGACUAAGCUGCUGAUUAUAAAUUACUGAUGGAGCCUGUUUAUGAAAGUACACACGGAUUAACAAGCAUUGCUGCGGGAACUUCCCACUGUAGAAUUUGCUUUUUUUUAAAAAAAAAAAAAAAAAAUUUAAUAUGUAUUUAAAACUCCAGUGGUGACUUGUGAUUGUGAAAUUAAUGACAUUGGGAAGCAUUCUUGCUGCCCAGGAUUGGUGACGUGUUUUGAGACUUUUGUCACAUGUUGAUAUGCCCAUGUUCUAUGAACCUUUUAUAAAGGAAUUAUUUUUAAUAUGAAUAUUGUACUGUGAACUUGUGGGGUGCUUUCAACAGUGUACAGUGUAAAUAGAUCAUGAAAAUAAAAUUGCAUAUUCAAUAUUGCU